Molecule: ribosomal RNA, 216 nt
Filed under: uncultured bacterium
Lineage: Bacteria
Description: partial 16S ribosomal RNA
Rfam family: Bacterial small subunit ribosomal RNA
Source: RNAcentral
CACAUGGGUACCUACCCCACAGUGAGGGAUACCGGCGAGAAAUCGCCGACAAUACCGCAUACGCUUCUUCGCAAGGGGAAGCAAAGUUGCGCAAGCGACGCUGUGGGAUGGGCCUGUGGCCGAUUAGCUGGUUGGUGAGGUAAUGGCUUACCAAGGCUGCGAUCGGUAGCUGGUCUGAGAGGACGAUCAGCCACACUGGGAUUGAGAACGGCCCAG